This 402-nucleotide ribosomal RNA is filed under the name Triticum aestivum (bread wheat). Its description in RNAcentral is "partial small subunit ribosomal RNA". The record is from RNAcentral. Lineage: Eukaryota; Viridiplantae; Streptophyta; Magnoliopsida; Poales; Poaceae.
AUGGAUGGUGUGCGCUCAGCCAAACACGCCCCAAACGUUUCAGAGGGUUGCAAUGUUUUUCUUGUCCCUGGUCCUUGCCCUCUCUUUCGUCCUCCGUCGUCUCGCCCAUCCCCCUCUCGUCUCCACAGUCCCACACACAAUCAAGCGAGGGAGAAGAACCAAAUCCCCAACCACUCGCCCGCCACCAAGCACGCAGCCGGAGCAAACAGCUCAUGCACCAAGGCCAGUGCAAUAAUAAUCGUCCCGGGCCCACGUCAAGCGGGACCCACAGGACGACCCCUGCACUGCGUCCAAAUUCAAUUCUACUGCAACCAACGAACAAAACAGGACGGACAAAAGCGAAGAGAGAGGAGAGGAGAGAGAGCCCCCAGCCUACAAGCCACCGGCCACCACCAGAUGUGA